This 468-nucleotide ribosomal RNA is filed under the name uncultured bacterium. Its description in RNAcentral is "partial 16S ribosomal RNA". It matches the Rfam family "Bacterial small subunit ribosomal RNA", at positions 28 to 507 of the family's 1533-position model. The record is from RNAcentral.
GACGAACGCUGGCGGCGUGCUUAAUACAUGCAAGUAGAACGGAAAGGCCAUGCCUUAGCUGGCUGCACGAGAGGCGGAGGGGUGCGAAAGACGGAAGUACGCUGACCUAAACUGUGGGAUAACUUCAGGAAACUGGGGGUAAUACCAGAUAGUAGCGCCUGAUGCAAGGUGGGGGAUGGAAAGUUUCGGAGUUUGGGGAUGGACUCGCGGCUUAGCGGCUUGUAGGUGGGGUAGCGGCUCGCCAAGGCUAUGACGGGUAGCCGGCCUGAGAGGGUGACCGGCCACAGUGGGCCUGAGGAACGGGCCAGACUGCUACGGGAGGCAUCAGUGGGGGACUUUGCGCGAUGGGCGGAGGCCUUAUGCAGCAACGCCGCGUGCGGGAUGACGGCUUUCGGGUUGUAAACCGCUUUCGCCUGUGACGAAGAGUGAGUGACGGUAAUUUGUAAAGAAGCACCGGCUAACUACGUG